UGAAAGGUCACUGGGAAGGUACCAUCAAAUCAUAUUUAUCGCAUCGUGAAUAGAAUAACUUUUAUUUUCAAAGAAGAAAGAAACCGUUUUUUUACAUUUAAAUUAUCCCCCAGACGAAUGUUCUAAUAUUCUGAAGUUCAAGGCAUAUUGAAUUAAAAAUAUUUUUUCAAGAUUCACUGUUAGAAGGCAACAACACCAUUUUAGAGCAGUUGGUAGGGUCCAACGUCCUCUGAGCAAGAGAAGUAGAAGGCCAAGACUAGGAAGUAUGGUGAACUUUGCUGCCCUGAUGCGUGACCAUUGGGUUAACAUAUUUGUCCCCCUUGGCUUUGUGAUCGGGAUCUACAUGGACAGAGCACAGGACCAGAAGCUAACCGCUUUCAGGAACAAAAGCGCAUUGUACAGCAGGGAGCUGAAGCCUGGCGAGGAAGUCACCUGGAAGUAGACCCACCUGUCUUGGAAUAUUUAUUGUGCGUUAGUCACAUCUCCUGUUGUGUGAUUUACACUUUCUGGAUGGUCUUCAAAUCAAGCACCCCGAUACGUUUCAGUCACUGUAUCCACCAAUAAACAUGUCCUGUUGUCAUCUUAA
Salmo salar (Atlantic salmon) is the source of this 586-nucleotide long non-coding RNA. RefSeq annotates it as NADH dehydrogenase [ubiquinone] 1 beta subcomplex subunit 1. Lineage: Eukaryota; Metazoa; Chordata; Actinopteri; Salmoniformes; Salmonidae. The record is from RefSeq and is a predicted model, not a curated record.